This 617-nucleotide long non-coding RNA is filed under the name Olea europaea (common olive). RNAcentral describes it as "long non-coding RNA (OEUR_LNC007421)". The record is from RNAcentral. Lineage: Eukaryota; Viridiplantae; Streptophyta; Magnoliopsida; Lamiales; Oleaceae.
AACAAAUUAGCCCGUAGCCAUUCCCCCCCCCCCCCCCAUUNNNNNNNNNUAUAUACUUCUCUCCAUAUUAUUAAGUCUUUGGAUUUGCAAUAAAAAAUCUUGUUUUCUGCAAUGUUGUUCUAUACAUUCAUCUUCAAAAGGUGAUGUACUCAGUGCUCUUAGUGGGUUUUCCACGUCUUUUCAAAUGCAUUGUUGUGUAUAAAUUUAAUUACUUAGUUUAGGGCUCUUUCGGGAGAAAUCAUAAUACAUUUUAAGUCGUAUUUAUGAAUAUCAUUUAGCUUUCACGUUAUUUUGUAGUGCUUGGCAGAAUUGUCUUUGUCAUGACGUGAUAAUUCUCACUUAAUGUUGGUAAGAGAAUUUAUACAUAAUUUCAUGUUUGAUCUAAAUGUGGAGUAACAAGCAUUUCAUUGAGUAGAAUUCAUUGUACUCAUCCCUCUUUAUCUACCAUUUUUAGGUAAAGAUUAGCAUACUGGAUGGCAGUUGACGGAUAUGCUGUUGGACCAUCCUCAUCAUGAAUUACUUCAAUUUUUGGAGACAUUGAAAUUUUUAAAAGCAGUCGGUUAUUUUUCAUUCUUAGACUCAGUUGUGAGCAAAAUUAUAAAAUUUAAUAGUCCUAG